UCGAUUCACUGGAGUAAGACUCUCGCGAGAAGCUCCCGCGUAUCUGUGUCGCGGAAACGGUAGCCUGAAAGAGUCGCGCCGGUCGCCGCCAUCGUGGUACACCUCCGCGCGAGACCGACACGCCGUUCGCGCGCUUCUCGGGGGGAGGCUCUGCCGGCCGCGGCGACGCACGUUGUUGGUUCGGCGAGCUACGAUCCGUGGCCAAAAUUGUCUUCGCGUCGUCGCUUCAAGAUCUAAGCUUAUAGCUAUCGUGGAAUUCGUCUCGAGAACCGGCUAGAAUAUUAUCUGGGUGAAAAUAUAAGCCAUCGCUGCCAGGAUUAAAGGGUGCGUAAAUCCUAAGGAAAGCUGCAGGGCUAAUUUUUAUAAUGUUCAUAAUAAUAACAACGGACGAUCGCCUCUAUAUUAAGCUGAAUUUUAUGUUCCGGUCGUUAAGCAGAACACUUACGAGUCUCGCUGGAUAUACGGGACGAUUUAGAAAUAAAUAUUGACGAGCACCUGUUAAUGUCAGACGUCGGGUGUCGUACAAGGUGUAAGUGAAAAUGCGUGCGGUGUCACGGCCUUAAUAAAUAAAUUAAUAAAUAAAAGCUA
Molecule: long non-coding RNA, 588 nt
Organism: Megalopta genalis
Lineage: Eukaryota; Metazoa; Arthropoda; Insecta; Hymenoptera; Halictidae
Source: RefSeq, a predicted model, not a curated record